RNAcentral lists this ribosomal RNA (424 nucleotides) under uncultured cyanobacterium. RNAcentral describes it as "bacterial SSU rRNA". It matches the Rfam family "Bacterial small subunit ribosomal RNA", at positions 357 to 796 of the family's 1533-position model. The record is from RNAcentral. Lineage: Bacteria; Bacillati; Cyanobacteriota.
GGAAUUUUUCCGCAAUGGGCGAAAGCCUGACGGAGCAAUACCGCGUGAGGGAAGAAGGCUCUUGGGUUGUAAACCUCUUUUCUCAGGGAAGAAAAAAAUGACGGUACCUGAGGAAUAAGCAUCGGCUAACUCCGUGCCAGCAGCCGCGGUAAUACGGAGGAUGCAAGCGUUAUCCGGAAUGAUUGGGCGUAAAGGGUCCGCAAGUGGCAUUGUUAGUCUGCUGUUAAAGAGUUUGGCUCAACCAAAUAAGAGCAGUGGAAACUACAAAGCUAGAGUAUGGUCGGGGCAGAGGGAAUUCCUGGUGUAGCGGUGAAAUGCGUAGAUAUCAGGAAGAACACCGGUGGCGAAGGCGCUCUGCUAGGCCAAAACUGACACUGAGGGACGAAAGCUAGGGGAGCGAAAGGGAUUAGAUCCCCUGUAGUCA